CAAUCUUGUAGAUACUCCAAUGCAAAUUUUAAAACACCAAUUUUUUUCAUCAAAACCUGCAAAUGCAAAUGUUUUCAUAUCAAAACACACAUUUAAGCUCAUGAAAACACAAAUAUUCUCAUCAAAACAUCUUUUUUCUCAUCAAAACACAAAUCUUCUCAUAAAAAAAGAAGAUCAUCUUCUAAUCAAAACAACACCCUUUUUUCUUAUCAACCAUUUAUUCUUGUUAUUAAAAAAUCUCCAUAAAUUCACAAAUUCAAAACAUAAAUUCAUUUAUAUAAAACAAUAAUAACAUAAAAGGUGGAUUGGAGUUUAAGAAUUGAAAGUAUAUAAAAUGCGAGGAAAAUAUCGUUGUCAGGAUUUUAGAGCUAACAAGAACAAGUUAUUCUAUAGAUCUGAUUACAAAUCUUGUGACAACAUAUUGAUUGGUGCUGAAAUUGAAUUAACUACGAGAUGGCCUAUAUUCAUAGUAUGCAAACAGCAAAAGCAAUUGCAGGCAAAGUAUAGAAAAUUGCAGUCCAAAAACACAUCAAGGAAAUAGAGAGGUCUGAAGCCUUAAAAAUGUCUAAUAAGAGCAAAACCCAUGAGAAAAAGCCUACAUACCCUCUCAAUAAAAAAAAAUGCCGACCCAAUUCCAAGGUAGAGAUAAAAAUAAUAAGAUAUGAACGUCACUCAAUUUUAGCUAAACACUAGCAUCCCAAACAGGCUAAGCAAAGAUAUGACCUGAAAAGCAUAGAAAAAAGCAAUUCCAACAUGAAUUAGAAACCAAACGUAACCAGAUUCUAAUGAGAUACUUAUCUCGGAAACAUCAGAUGAAAUUGGUAAAGGAGCCAGAGAGAGCAUAAAAAACCAAGCAAGUCAUCCUCAAGCAACCAAACAUCUAGUCCAUACAGACCAACCACCACACCCCCAGUGAACAAGGGAAAUCCUAGGACAUUGUUGAAUAGUUUUAAAACAAUGGAUUACACACCCCACUCAUCAAGAGGGCAGCCGUAAUCAAGCCAUCCCAGCCCCGCCAGAAAAAAAAUCAAACGAAACAGAUGCAUCAACCUCAGACAAUCGCACCUCGGCGCUCAGUCCUUGGCUCGCCUCAACCUGAACAUGCAUCAGACCAAGCUGACCAAAAUAUGCUAGAAAGCCCUAUAGACGGAUAAGAAAGCCUGGAAACAACAACCGUUCGUGCGAAAAAGAAAGGCGAGAAUUAGAUGGCAACAACGAUAAACACUGUGUGAGUCCACAGUGGUUUCACUCAAUCUACGGUGUUGAAAAGGAAGAAAAGAAAAAAAAGUUUCAGGGGCAUAUUUGUAAUCUGAAAAAAUAGAGAGAGGGAGACAACCAUG
This 1340-nucleotide long non-coding RNA is filed under the name Populus trichocarpa (black cottonwood). RNAcentral's name for it is "long non-coding RNA (PTRI_LNC000600)". The record is from RNAcentral. Lineage: Eukaryota; Viridiplantae; Streptophyta; Magnoliopsida; Malpighiales; Salicaceae.